This 85-nucleotide transfer RNA is filed under the name Felis catus (domestic cat). RNAcentral's name for it is "tRNA-Sup (TCA) (tRNA-Sup-TCA-1-1)". It matches the Rfam family "tRNA". From Rfam's summary of the family: Transfer RNA (tRNA) molecules are approximately 80 nucleotides in length. Lineage: Eukaryota; Metazoa; Chordata; Mammalia; Carnivora; Felidae. The record is from Rfam by way of RNAcentral.
GCCUGGGUGGCUCAGUCGGUUGAGCGUCUGACUUCAGCUCAGGUCACGAUCUCGCGGUCCGUGGGUUCGAGCCCCACGUCGGGCU